Molecule: long non-coding RNA, 2432 nt
Organism: Acinonyx jubatus (cheetah)
Lineage: Eukaryota; Metazoa; Chordata; Mammalia; Carnivora; Felidae
Exons: 4
Source: RefSeq, a predicted model, not a curated record
GACCAGUGUAGUUAUAAAAAGUGUAAGUUUGGACUCAGACACAGGCACAUACAGAAGGAAGGCGAUACGAAGACAAAAGAGAAUGUUACCGACAAGCCAAGGAAUGCCUGGAGCUACCAGAAGUUACAACAGAUUCUCCCUCUGAGCCCUCAGAAGGAACUAAUCUGUUCAACAUCUUGAUUUUGGACUUCUGGCCUCCAGAACUGGAUCACAAGAAGCUCUGGGGUCCAGAUUUUACACGGUCGCCCGUCACCCAACCACGUGUGCAAAUACUUGUAUGCAGAUAGAACUCGAGUUUGUCCAAAGACCAAUCAUCUCUGAAUGUCUUCUGCUAAGAAUUUAAUAUAUAUAUAUUUCUAUUUAGCCCUCUAGUCUAAAGCAGUGGUAAAGAAACCAUGAACCAAGUGGGCUAUUGGACAGAGGAGUCCCCACGCUAUAACAGGGAGUAGAGGAGAUACCUGAUUUCUUUGGCUUGUCUUUUCCAGAAGAUGAGGAGCAGAUCACUGGUGAUACAGAAUAUGCAUCAGGGCAACUGUCCUUCAUGAAUGAAGUCUCUGCAUCAUUGGGAGCACUCUCUAUCCCAAGAAGAGAGACUGGAAAGUGCCCAUGAGCUUUUCACAGGCUCCCCAGGAAACGUCACUCAUCAUUCACUUCCUCUUACAACCCAUUAGCCAGUGACUCUCUCAGUAAGAGUUAGACUCAUGAGCAAAGGGCUGUGAAGUGCUGUCCGCCAUAUGCCUGGAAGGGGAGGCUACCCAGAUAUUGGAAAACACGAGUGAUGCCUACCUUCAUCUAUAACAUUGACUGAAAGCGCUGGUCUUAAUCAUUUUUAUAGUAAGACUCCGUACCUAACAGAUGAAAGCCUCUGAUGCUGUGUUUCGACUUCAAGAAGGCCUUGGCUAGUCUUAGACCUUGGCAAUUCCCUACAAGUUGUAGAAAGUGUUUGUGAAGUUCUGAAAAAGAUCCCGAAUUCACAGCUGAAUCAAGGGAGAGUCGACACUGAAAAUAUCAAGUGUUCUAAUUCAGUAACAGAAUUUCUCUCCUUUAAUCCAGGUCUUCUUUAGUUUCUUUCAAUAAUGUUUUAUAAUGUUUUAAAAAAAAUUUUUUAAACAUUUAUUCAUUUUUGAGAGACAGAGACAGAGUGUGAGGCGGGGAGGGGCAGAGAGAGGGGGAGACACAGAAUCCGAAGCAGGGUCCAGGCUCCGAGCCAUCAGCACAGAGCCAGAGGCAGGGCUUGAAAUCACGGACCACAGGAUCAUGACCUGAGCUGAAGUUGGACACCUAACGGACUGAGCCACCCGGGUGCCCCAAUGUUUUAGAAUGUUUUGCACAGAGGUCUUAUACACCUUUUGUUAGAUUUUCCCCUAAAAUUUGGAUAUGUUUAAAUCCUAGUGUAAAUGUUACUUUCAAAGUUUUUUCCAUUUUAUAAAAUCUGUGGUUGAUAGGGGCACCUGGGUGGCUCAGUUGGUUUUAACCAUCCAACUUCGGCUCAGGCAAUGAUCUCGCAGUUCACUAGUUCGAGCCCCACGUCAGGCUCAGAGCCUGAAGCCUGUUUCAGAUUCUGUGUCUGCCAAUCUGCCUCUCCCCCGCUCACACCUGUCUCUCUCUCUCUCUCUCUCUCUCUCUCUCUCUCUCUCUCUCUCUCAAAAAUAAAUAAAACACUAACAACACAGUUAAAAAAAGAAGUUUAGAAUUUGUGGUUGGUAGAUAAAAAUUUCAUUCAUAUUUUGGUGUUGACCUUGUAUCUAGCAACCUUCUGAAACUUCCUUAAAUUCUAAAAACUAUCUGCAGAUUCCCAUGGAUUUUCUAUGUAGUUAAUAAUGUGAUCCACAGAUAAUGAUAAUUGCAUUCCUUCCUUUUUGAUCUUAUGCGUUUUCUUUUAUUUUCUUUCCUUGCCUGUAGGGGACCUCCAAAAUACUGCAGAAUGGAUGUUGUGAGAGUAACCAUAUUUGUACUCUCCACAAUCUCAAAGGGAACAUUUUCAAAGUUUUGAUUUUAAAUGUAUUGGUUGUUAUAGGUCUUUUGUAGCUAUUCUUUACCAGAUUACUUCAGUGUUUGCUUUUUUCUAGUUUUUAAGAUUUUGAAUAACCAAUGGAUAUUGAAUUUUAGCAAAUGCUUUUUUUCCUGUAUGUAUUGAGAUGAAUAGAUGAUUUUCUCCCCUUUGAUCUUAACAGGUGGAAAAUUACAUUGAUUUUCUCAUGAUAAAGCAACAUUUACACCAGCAUCCUGGAAUAAGCCAAAUUUGAACAUGUUGUGUUUCCUUUUUAUAUAUUGUUAGCUUUGACUCGUUAAUAUUCUGUUUAGGAUUUUUCCACAUGUUCGUGAGUAAAAUUGGCCUGUAAUUUUCUUUGCUAUGCUGUUCUUGUUGGGUUUCAAUAUGAAGAUGACUUUAGCCUCACACAAUAAAAUGGAGAGUGUUCUCACUUUUUCUA